AUGUUUUGACAGCACAUAUACAAAAAUCAGACUGAUACAGAGAUUAGCAUGGCUCCUGGGCGAGAAUGACACACAAAUUCAUGAAAUGUUCCACAUUUUU
Molecule: small nuclear RNA, 100 nt
Filed under: Cervus elaphus hippelaphus
Lineage: Eukaryota; Metazoa; Chordata; Mammalia; Artiodactyla; Cervidae
Also listed under: 1 other name
Source: RNAcentral